GCUCAAAAUGAGCAUCCACACAGCAGCUUAUGGAGCGAGCUGCUGCUCAGCCAUCCAAUAGGCAUGUCGCAGACUCUGUAAUUCUGAUUAUGGAUUAGCCCAGCACCUUUGAUGACAAUCCUGUCGACAUUCAGCUCUAUCAAGCAUCUUACUGAAUUCCUGGAUCUUUCCUCACCCAACCAAGCGUCUUCAACCAGCAUUGAGCCACCUACCUUCAGAAUACACCAUACUUAGCUCCUUCUGUCUAAAGGGGUAUAGAAAACACACAACCCGUAAAAGCCCUGAGACAGACUGGCGACCUGUCCAGGGUGUCACCUGCCUUCGCCCGAGUCAGCUGGGAUAGGCCCCAGCACCCCCCGCGACCCAAGUGAGGAUUAAGCGGUGUACAGAGAAUGGAUGGAUGGAUGGACAACCCGUAAUAACCAGCUCAGGACUAGUCUCACAUAACCAGACUAACCUCUCCCGUGCUAAGUCACAAAAGUCUGUGCUAAGCCCAGGAUGUAGUGAUGGUGUACCUGCAAAAUAGGGAAAGGGAAAUUAUUUUGUUGGAACAUUAGCAUGCAGUGAGGUGAGCACUGUCAUUAAAUAUGCCAAAAAAAUGUAUAAAAAGUAAAUAAAAAAAUUACU
This is a long non-coding RNA of Acanthochromis polyacanthus (spiny chromis), 627 nucleotides long. RefSeq lists it as uncharacterized. The transcript is spliced from 4 exons. The record is from RefSeq and is a predicted model, not a curated record. NCBI's taxonomy places the organism in Eukaryota, Metazoa, Chordata, Actinopteri, Pomacentridae.